UGGGGAAUUUUGCACAAUGGGGGAAACCCUGAUGCAGCGACGCCGCGUGAUUUAGAAGGCCUUCGGGUUGUAAAAAUCUUUUUUACGGGAUGAAAAUGACAGUACCGUAAGAAUAAGGUCCGGCUAAAUACGUGCCAGCAGCCGCGGUAAUACGUAUGGACCGAGCGUUGUACGGAAUCAUUGGGCGUAAAGGGUACGUAGGCGGCCUAGUAAGUUAGAAGUGAAAUAAUAUAGCUCAACUAUAUAAAGCUUUUAAAACUGCUAGGCUUGAGAGAUGGAAGGGAAAGUGGAAUUCCUAGUGUAGCGGUGAAAUGCGCAGAUAUUAGGAAGAAUACCGGUGGCGAAGGCGACUUUCUGGUCAUCAUCUGACGCUGAGGUACGAAAGCGUGGGUAGCAAACAGG
This 402-nucleotide ribosomal RNA is filed under the name bacterium. Its description in RNAcentral is "partial 16S ribosomal RNA". It matches the Rfam family "Bacterial small subunit ribosomal RNA", at positions 355 to 776 of the family's 1533-position model. The record is from RNAcentral.